RNAcentral lists this long non-coding RNA (239 nucleotides) under Manihot esculenta (cassava). Its description in RNAcentral is "long non-coding RNA (MESC_LNC001346)". The record is from RNAcentral. Lineage: Eukaryota; Viridiplantae; Streptophyta; Magnoliopsida; Malpighiales; Euphorbiaceae.
CUUUGUGAAGUCAAUAAUAUAGGCUUACACCGGUUAAUUGAACACUAACUCAAUCUAUAAAGUGUAGUAGAUGGAAUUCUAAGAAAGGUCAACAUCUCUGCAUCUCGUUCGCUCGGAUAAAGUCUCUCGUUCUACAACUCACUUUCAAGCAGAGAAAGUCUCAUGCACAUACGAGUGAAGUCUCAUUUGUGGAUGAAGAUGGAGUCAAGCUCAGGACAGGGGAUAAGAAUGUGAAAGAU